UACGAGGGGGGCGAGCGUUGUUCGGAAUUAUUGGGCGUAAAGGGCGCGUAGGCGGUCGGAUAAGUCUUGUGUGAAAUCUUCGGGCUCAACUCGAAGUCUGCACAGGAAACUAUCUGGCUUGAGUGUGGGAGAGGUGAGUGGAAUUCCUGGUGUAGCGGUGAAAUGCGUAGAUAUCAGGAGGAACACCUGUGGUGUAGACGGCUUUCUGGACCAUAGCUGACGCUGAGACACGAAAGCGUGGGUAGCAAACAGG
Molecule: ribosomal RNA, 253 nt
Filed under: uncultured bacterium
Lineage: Bacteria
Description: partial 16S ribosomal RNA
Rfam family: Bacterial small subunit ribosomal RNA
Source: RNAcentral